This is a long non-coding RNA of Pezoporus occidentalis (night parrot), 1428 nucleotides long. RefSeq lists it as uncharacterized. The transcript has 2 exons. The record is from RefSeq and is a predicted model, not a curated record. NCBI's taxonomy places the organism in Eukaryota, Metazoa, Chordata, Aves, Psittaciformes, Psittacidae.
GUGAGCACAUAUUGUGAGCUAUGUGAAGCAGGAAGAGAGCCUUUCAGACAGCUGUGUGGGAGAAGUCACAGGCGGACCGAAGGAAAGCUUCGCCAAGUCACUCGCAUCAUGACCCCCAACCGAGCCCUGUUUACUUCUGUGUCUACACCUGUGGAUCAAGUAGGAGACAAAGCUGGGGGAGUAUCCAGGAAAGGGAAGAUUGGAGACUAGCCAUCCCAAGAGAGCUCUUUUGCUACACAAAGUUGUUACCAGGAAAUGCCUUCCACUUUUCUCAAGAUUUCUUUAUUUUCCUGACAGUGCACAGGGUCAGGAGGCAGCUGGAGUUUGCAGCAGGAGAGGAACUGAUCAGUCUGAAACAUAAAGCAGUAGGGGAGGGCCCACUGGAAGUAUCAGUUUAGGGCUGGUCAGAUUAGGAGGAAACUGUUUAAAGAAGAAAUUGUGAUUUAAAAAGGGGAAAAGAAAAAUCAAGUUCACUACCCAGGAAUGAAGUUUGGAUGGAUCCCUCUGAGAGGAAGUCAGUGAUGCUGAGCAAAUUCUGCCCUGGAAUAUGAAGCGAGGAAAGCACAGCAGUAGGUCUGGGGCAAAAAGAGAUGUUCCCUGCUAAGUUCCUGCUUGCUGUGCUCUUGUGUGACCUUAGCUGGCAUCAGCAAAGCAGUGCUGAAUUGGCUGUGCAAAUUCUGGAGCAACAGAAAGAGAAGGCAUAAAUAAGGAGAUAUGUUGAACAGUGUCAUCAGAGCCUCCACAGGAAGCCCUAGAAGGGCCAGAAUGGGAACAUACACAAUGCUUAUUUUCAGCUUGUGUUUGUAGCUCCACAGAGGAAUCAUCGAUCAAGAACAGCUGCCUUUCCUGACAGUGCUAGGGAGUGGUGUUGAAGGUGGAGCUCUGUAAACAGAACUUUGAUCCUAUUUAGUACCUGUAGAACAGACCUGCUUAGUUACGAUACACAAGAAACCUGGUUGUUCUAGCAAGUACUGGAACACAAACCUCCAGUCAGGUUUUUUUAUUCAUGUGGGUUUAAGUUUGUUGUUAUUAAUUAUCACUAAUCAGUUUUUACUGUGUGCAGUAGGUCCUUAAACAGUGGUUGUUGACAGUUUAUACUGUGCCAGAACUUUACAAUUGGCUGAAACAGCUAAAAAAAUUGCUCUGUAUGGAGCAGAAGUAAUUUUAUAAUCUCUCAAAUAACUAGUUUCAGUUCUUUGUCUUUCAGUUUGGCUUUUUUUAAAAGCCAAUGAUAACAAAAAGCAACCAUCCCCCAACCAUUUUUUCUUAAAGGAAAGGGAUAUGAAACCUUAUAUCCGUCUUGGAAAAGUUAUGACAAACUGGAAAUGUUAUGAAAGCAUUAAAUACGCCAACUAGACAAAACCAUGAUAUUCAGAGACAAGUUUUGUGGAAUAAAAGGAAAUAUUGCUAAAGACAGUAUACAGACAA